AGCGAAUCCUGCCUGCCUGCACUGUGGAUCUGGCUAUAGCUGCAUUUCUACAUCUGUUGGGUUCAUAUAUGAUCUAUGUUCAACAAAUAGCUCGUUCUGUAUCUGGGCCUGGAUCUUAAAUGUGUGUGUUAACUCAAGGAGGCCUCAUUCCAGCUGGCGAUGGUGUGUGGAUUGUCAAAUGCAGAAUUUCAUCUGAACUGGGACUAACAUGAUCUGAAGCACAUUUACAUUGAUGCUGGAAGACUGGAGUCACAACAGCUAAAUUGAAAGAUUGUUUCAUGAUGGAUUAUACAAGACACUGUUUUUCUAAAAAAAAAAAAUGUUUUCUAUCACAUGAAGGCCAGAGAUCACAUAACUUCUGUUCAGGAUCAUCCAUCAAGCUGACUUACUCUCACCAAAAGGCUAAAUUGCCAAAAAAUGGAGUGUCAGAAAGGACUUCACCAUUUGGGAUUAUGUGUAAUGCUUACCAUAACCCAAUGACUCUGAAGAUGGCUGGGUGCCCUGCACCUCAGGCUGAGAUCUAGUUUUAUUGAAAUCAAGUAUAAGACAUCAGAAUGAAUGCACCAAAUCCAACAAACAGUUGUUUAAUGACAUUUCAGAAUAGAAACUUCUUUUAGGUGCUUUUUGGGAUAAAUAAAAUCUAGGAACCCAAUUUUCAGGGUACUUGAAUUCAGUUGAAUGAAGACAUUGACAAGGAUAGCCAUCUAUCUAACAGCCUGUGGAUGAGGUCAAAGGAAAGAGGGAAGAAAGGAGAAAGGGGAGAAGGAAAGAACUUGAGGCUUUGAUGACCGUUGGAAUGCAGAGAAGCUAUGAGAAAAGAGCUCACAAGAGAAAAAUGUCAGCAUUGCAAAGUGGAAGAACACUGAAGGGAUUAAACAGCAUUCUAGAAAACAAGACAGACCAUGAAGAGUAUGGGAAGAAACAGGAAGGCCUAUUUCCCGGUACCAGACCCAGAAGCUGUAUAAUAGGACAUGAAGGAAGAAGUGUCCAUGGGAAUGAUCUAGAACUCAGCUGAGGGUUUGGUAACUUCUGUGGAGAGCCUCAUCUAUCAUCCAGGCAGACAAAGCUGACUGACAACUUGCAGGCUGAGGUGCUCUCUGUGUCAUGACAUGUCAGAUUUGGGAAAUGAGUGAAGCAGG
Molecule: long non-coding RNA, 1139 nt
Organism: Gorilla gorilla gorilla (western lowland gorilla)
Lineage: Eukaryota; Metazoa; Chordata; Mammalia; Primates; Hominidae
Exons: 6
Source: RefSeq, a predicted model, not a curated record